Molecule: ribosomal RNA, 893 nt
Filed under: Hyaloscypha leuconica var. bulbopilosa
Lineage: Eukaryota; Fungi; Ascomycota; Leotiomycetes; Helotiales; Hyaloscyphaceae
Description: eukaryotic LSU rRNA
Rfam family: Eukaryotic large subunit ribosomal RNA
Source: RNAcentral
CAAUAAGCGGAGGAAAAGAAACCAACAGGGAUUGCCUCAGUAACGGCGAGUGAAGCGGCAACAGCUCAAAUUUGAAAUCUGGCUCUCUCAGGGUCCGAGUUGUAAUUUGUAGAAGAUGCUUUGGGUGUAGCUCCGGUCUAAGUUCCUUGGAACAGGACGUCAUAGAGGGUGAGAAUCCCGUACGUGACUGGGUGCUUUCGCUCGUGUAAAGCUCUUUCGACGAGUCGAGUUGUUUGGGAAUGCAGCUCAAAAUGGGUGGUAAAUUUCAUCUAAAGCUAAAUAUUGGCCAGAGACCGAUAGCGCACAAGUAGAGUGAUCGAAAGAUGAAAAGCACUUUGGAAAGAGAGUUAAACAGUACGUGAAAUUGUUGAAAGGGAAGCGCUUGCAACCAGACUUGCGGGCGGUUGAUCAUCCGAGCUUUUGCCCGGUGCACUCGAUCGUUCACAGGCCAGCAUCGGUUUUGGUGGGCGGAUAAAGGCCUUGGGAAUGUAGCUUCUUUCGGGGAGUGUUAUAGCCCUCGGUGCAAUGCGCCCUACCGGGACCGAGGACCGCGCUUCGGCUAGGAUGCUGGCGUAAUGGUUGUAAGCGACCCGUCUUGAAACACGGACCAAGGAGUCUAACAUCUAUGCGAGUGUUUGGGUGCCAAACCCAUACGCGUAAUGAAAGUGAACGGAGGUGAGAACCCUUAAGGGUGCAUCAUCGACCGAUCCUGAUGUCUUCGGAUGGAUUUGAGUAAGAGCAUAGCUGUUGGGACCCGAAAGAUGGUGAACUAUGCCUGAAUAGGGUGAAGCCAGAGGAAACUCUGGUGGAGGCUCGCAGCGGUUCUGACGUGCAAAUCGAUCGUCAAAUUUGGGUAUAGGGGCGAAAGACUAAUCGAACCAUCUAGUAGCUGG